This is a non-coding RNA of Haemonchus contortus (barber pole worm), 75 nucleotides long. Lineage: Eukaryota; Metazoa; Nematoda; Chromadorea; Rhabditida; Trichostrongylidae. The record is from Rfam.
GGCCCAAAUUUGAAGUAGAGUAGAUUUGUAGGAUCAGUUGACCCUACUGAACCGCUCUACUUCGAGUUUGUGCCC